Molecule: long non-coding RNA, 1225 nt
Organism: Rhagoletis pomonella (apple maggot)
Lineage: Eukaryota; Metazoa; Arthropoda; Insecta; Diptera; Tephritidae
Exons: 2
Source: RefSeq, a predicted model, not a curated record
CAAUAACAUUUUGGGGAUUUCCAAGCAGCUUUUGUGAGUCACGCACUUUAUACACUUUGAUUCUGUUUGUUGUGAGUGGGCGGUAUCGCUUUAAUUUUUCUGAAUCAACACAAUUUAUUUACGUAUUGUAUGUACAUUUGUUUCAAUAUUUAAAGGAACUGGUUACGUUUGUUUCUUUAUUUUUAAACUUCGAAACUGCCAACUGACCGGUAGUUUGAGGUUGCAGCAUGAUUUGCCGGUUUUGCUACAAAAGUGUGUCACCGAUUUUCACUUAUUUUUGUAGUCGAUUUUCGUAAACAACCUAGUGGCGUCUCACAAGCCAAAUACAUGCACAAAACACAAACUCAAAAACAAAUACUCGGAAUCAAAACAAAACAAAAAAAAGCCGAGAAAUGUGGGAUUUGGCCCCCUUUGGCCCCCUUUGGCCUCUUAGCACACUUCAAGGCGAUGAUCACGUGUUUCACUCAAUGUUAUCAGAUUUAAAGGCGUCCCAAACUUGGUUCGCGCGCGCAAAUCAACAACGGCAACGACCGCAAUGGCACAGCCAGUAUAGUUAGAGAAGAGGAGCACUGCAGGAGGUUUAACUUUUAGCCGUUUGGUUUUGUUGCGUUGCCGUGGAGCAAGCACUUCCAGUAUGCGGAUCACGGAUCACGGAUCACUUACCUAUCGGAAGUUAUUUAGAUCGAACUACAACGACCAGCGCGUUAAUAUGCAAAGAACAGAAAAUUAAAUCGGGCGGCUAAGGUGGAAGACAAGCACGCUCGUACACUGUUGAUCAGUCGGUCUGCGUUGGUGCGAGAUGUAAAGCGGGGCGUUAACAAAUGCAAAGAGGCAUCGCCUAGAAGCAAAAUGAUAAAUAAAUAAAACAAAAAAUUCCAAUCAAAACAAAUAAAGACGAAUAACAGACGCACCGAAGGAGCAGAAACGAGCGGCAAUCAGAGGCGGGAAAAUAUGUACAUACAAACAUACUGGAAUAAGCAUAGCCAAGUGGUGAGCUGAAGUGGCGAGAUAAAUGUCGAAGGCGCGCGGAUUGUAUGUAUGCGUGUAUGCAUUAGGCUGUUCGGUUGAUGAUUUGCAAAACAAAACCGAUUUCCGAGUUAUUCGAAAAAGGCGAAUUGAAAAAUCCCGGUUAGACUCGAUAUUCGCUUUUACUUUUUCUCGUUUUGAUAACGCUUACAGAUAGUCAGAAAUGAAAGUCAAAAAUGGAAUAAAACUAUUAAAAUUA